GAUGAACGCUGGCGGCGUGCCUAAUACAUGCAAGUCGAGCGAACGGACGAGAAGCUUGCUUUUCUGAUGUUAGCGGCGGACGGGUGAGUAACACGUGGAUAACCUACCUAUAAGACUGGGAUAACUUCGGGAAACCGGAGUUAAUACCGGAUAAUAUUUUGAACCGCAUGGUUCAAAAGUGAAAGACGGUCUUGCUGUCACUUAUAGAUGGAUCCGCGCUGCAUUAGCUAGUUGGUAAGGUAACGGCUUACCAAGGCAACGAUGCAUAGCCGACCUGAGAGGGUGAUCGGCUACACUGGAACUGAGACACGGUCCAGACUCCUACGGGAGGCAGCAGUAGGGAAUCUUCCGCAAUGGGCGAAAGCCUGACGGAGCAACGCCGCGUGAGUGAUGAAGGUCUUCGGAUCGUAAAACUCUGUUAUUAGGGAAGAACAUAUGUGUAAGUAACUGUGCACAUCUUGACGGUACCUAAUCAGAAAGCCACGGCUAACUACGUG
RNAcentral lists this ribosomal RNA (497 nucleotides) under uncultured bacterium. RNAcentral's name for it is "partial 16S ribosomal RNA". It matches the Rfam family "Bacterial small subunit ribosomal RNA", at positions 28 to 507 of the family's 1533-position model. The record is from RNAcentral.